Molecule: ribosomal RNA, 465 nt
Filed under: Vreelandella stevensii
Lineage: Bacteria; Pseudomonadati; Pseudomonadota; Gammaproteobacteria; Oceanospirillales; Halomonadaceae
Description: partial 16S ribosomal RNA
Rfam family: Bacterial small subunit ribosomal RNA
Source: RNAcentral
CCUACGGGGGGCUGCAGUGGAGAAUAUUGGACAAUGGGGGGAACCCUGAUCCAGCCAUGCCGCGUGUGUGAAGAAGGCCCUCGGGUUGUAAAGCACUUUCAGUGAGGAAGAACGCCUGGUGGUUAAUACCCAUCAGGAAAGACAUCACUCACAGAAGAAGCACCGGCUAACUCCGUGCCAGCAGCCGCGGUAAUACGGAGGGUGCGAGCGUUAAUCGGAAUUACUGGGCGUAAAGCGCGCGUAGGUGGCUUGAUAAGCCGGUUGUGAAAGCCCCGGGCUCAACCUGGGAACGGCAUCCGGAACUGUCAAGCUAGAGUGCAGGAGAGGAAGGUAGAAUUCCCGGUGUAGCGGUGAAAUGCGUAGAGAUCGGGAGGAAUACCAGUGGCGAAGGCGGCCUUCUGGACUGACACUGACACUGAGGUGCGAAAGCGUGGGUAGCAAACAGGAUUAGAUACCCUAGUAGUC